Molecule: RNA transcript, 4283 nt
Organism: Rhododendron vialii
Lineage: Eukaryota; Viridiplantae; Streptophyta; Magnoliopsida; Ericales; Ericaceae
Gene name: protein STICHEL-like 2
Exons: 8
Source: RefSeq, a predicted model, not a curated record
CCCAAAACCAGAGUUGCAGCUUUUUGGCUCCCCCGAACUACCUGAAACCUUCUCACAUCAAAAUCCCCAAACUACCCCUCCGGACUCUCUCUCUCUCUCUUCUCUCUCUCCAGAAUCUCUGCAGAAAGGAGGGAAUUUACUCUCACGCAAUUAUCAAUACUACACGUCUGACUCUGUGCUCAUGGCUCCCUCUGCUUCUGCCCUCCUCAAUCACCGUCACAAUUAUCGCCCCCAGCAUUUACUCACAUUUACUAUACUGCCACUGCCCUCCCGUGCCCCUCCCUCUACCUGUAGUAGUAGUAAUCUACUCUACAAUCUACCUCUGUCCCCCCUUCAAAGCUCAACCAUCAAUGCCUCUGCUUCCCGUUUUAGGGUUAGGGUUUGUUCAUCCUCCUCCUCCGCCGCGUUUCAAGCCCUAAUUUCAGACUCCGUGGACUUCGAUGGGCUUCGAUUCCUCCAGUUUUGCAGGUUGGAAAUGAAAUUCUUUCUCCAGUUGGUCCUGAGAUUUGAAUAGUGUGGUUUCUUAAAACGCCUUGAAUUUUGAAACCAUGGAUGGGCGGCGGCAUUCUCUUGAUAUCCCAAUCUCGAAAGCAUUAUUAGCUCUUCGGAGAGUGAGGUCCCUUAGGGAUCCGUCAACUCACUCAAUGAGCAAAUUUUCUGCUUUAGUUGAUAAUUUGAAUUGGGAUACCAACUCGACUAAUGGGAUCACUCUAGGCUUUGUAAACGGUUGUGAAAUGGAUUGCAUUGGUAUGACGCCUCUUUUCGGAUCGAAAGAUUUAGGCUUAACUGGUCAAAGGCAGGAAAAUGUGAGAGACCUUGACUUGCAUAAUGGUUUCAGAAAGCCCAACUCUAACUUAGCAUUGUAUGAGAAUUCAACUUGGGUUGGAGACAGUGGGUCUGUUCCAAUUAUGUCCAAACAGGUUGUGGGUUCCAAUCAUUGUGGACCAAAUCAAGAAGUGGUUUGUGAAACCAAAUCAGUGAGUGAAAGAUGUUGCAAUGGAUAUCCAGAGAAAGGGUUGGACUUAACGUGCGUCCCACCUUCCGCGGGUUAUUUGGAAGGAGUCGAUUCAUGCAAUGAACCAAUUGAAGGAUCAUCGCGGGCAGAAAGAAUAGAUCUUAACCCAUCUAAUCGAAAAACAGGACACCAAAGGCGGAUUGGAUCAUCUAGAGCGGCAGUGGGUGAUAUCAUGAGUCGUGUUGGCAGUCCAUGCUUGUCAAGUCAUAGCACAUCAUUAUUUGGAAAUGAAGAUGUUAAUGCUGUUGAUGGAAAUCACCAUGGAUGUAGGAUCACCUGCUGUUGGUCAGGAACUCCUAGGUUUAGUGUAUCAAAUAUUCCAUCUGACCUAGAAGACCAGCCACUUUUAUCAGGGGGUGUAGGCGAGACACUUAUUUCUGGAGAAGGAAAGAGCUGGAAACACAUAAGCAAUGAAAUUUCUCCAUCUUUGGAGAGUCCUCAGAGUUUCAAUCAGAAAUUCUGGCCAAAAUCUUUUUGUGAAUUAGUGGGCCAAAAUGUAGUAGCAAGGUCUCUGUUGACGGCCAUCUCAAAUGCCAGGAUUAGUUCCUUUUAUCUCUUUCAUGGCCCCCGCGGCACAGGUAAGACUUCUGCGUCGAGGAUUUUUGCUGCUGCAUUGAAUUGUCUCUCACUUGAGGAGAAAAAACCCUGUGGUCUGUGCCGCGAAUGUGUUUUGUUCUUCUCUGGAAGGAGCCGAGAUGUCAAUGAAGUGGAUUCUGUGAGAAUCAAUCGUAAGGAUAGGGUUAGAUCUCUUAUUAAAAGUGCUAGUAUCCCUCCAGUCUCGUCAAGGUUUAAGAUUUUCAUAAUUGACGAGUGCCACCUAUUACGAGGGGAAACGUGGGCAACUUUUUUGAACAACCUUCGAAACCUCUCUCGGCAUUCUGUCUUUUUAUUGAUUACUCCCGAUCUCAAUAAAUUGCCACAAAGUGCAGUGUCGCGAUCACAAAAGUACCAUUUUCCGAAGAUAAAGGACAUUGAUAUUGGAAGCAGAUUAGGAAGUAUCUGUAUGAAAGAAGGACUUCAGUUUGAGCAGGAUGCUUUGGAUUUUGUUGCUUCUAAAUCUAAUGGUUCACUCCGUGAUGCUGAAAUGAUGCUUGAGCAACUUAGUUUACUUGGGAAAAGAAUUACUAUGUCAUUGGUUUACGAACUGAUUGGAAUUGUUUCUGAUGAUGAGUUGCUAGAUUUACUGGAUCUAGCUUUGUCAUCUGACAGCUCAAAUACAGUUAGAAGGGCCAGGGAGCUGAUGAGAUCAAGGAUAGACCCUAUGCAACUAAUAUCACAGCUAGCAAACCUCAUAAUGGAUGUCCUUGCUGGAAAAUGUCAGCCAGGUUCAUCUGAAGUUAGAAGGAAGUUUUUCAGUAGAUACACUACUGAAGCAAGCCUGCAGCAACUUAAUCAUGCAUUGAAAAUACUUUCUGAAACUGAGAAACAACUGAGGGCAUCUAAUAGUCAGACGACAUGGCUUAUCGUAGCUCUUUUACAAUUGAGUUCAGUGGGGAAUUCAUUAUCAGAUGCUCAUGAUUUGAGGAUGUGCGAAAAAUUUGUACAGCCAAGAGAUGGUGAUUUUUGUAGUGAAUCAUCUCCAAGUGAGAGUUCGAAACAUCUUGUCCCUUGUGCAUGCCAUAAUGGUGAAUCAUGUAAGUUGGGGAUGCAGGAUGGUAAAGAAACACUAGAAUCCAUAUGGCAGAAAGCCAUAGAGAUUUGUCAAUCCAAUUCACUGAAAAACAUUUUAAGGAAACAUGGGAAGCUGUCUUCUAUUUGCUUUGCCCAAGGUUUAGGAGUGGUUGAAUUGGAGUUUCAUCACCCUGACUAUGUAAAGAAGGCUGAGAAGUCAUGGAAAUUGAUUGCAAACGCACUUCAAUCUGUUCUGGGUUGUAAUGUGGAGAUGCGGAUCAAUCUUAUGCACUGUGUUCCUGCGACAAAAUAUACCAAAAAGAAGAUAUCCUUCAGCUUGUUCAGCUGUUCCCGCAAGUUGCACCAUGAGUCGACCACUGAAAACAGAAGUGAACCAUCAUGUCAUUCUGAUUCCACCUCUGAAAAGGCAAACGUAAGGGACAAAUAUGUUGAGACUUGUUCCCCCUAUUGUGGGUCCCAAUUCUCGAAUAACUGCUGUCAGAAAAAAGAAGCGAUGAUACGGAACAAUGAAGGAAAUGCACUAAGCAUUGGAAUGACAGGCAACUGCAAAUGCGAAGCUAUAUCUGCUCAAGAGGAGGAGAAACAGCCUGGCUGUUUAUUCAGAUCCCUGAAGCUCCAUAAAAAGAUGCAGUCAUCAGAGACUUCUCAGAGUACCUGUUUGAGGUUCCAACCAGAAAGUAAUCCUGAAUUGUCUAUUCCCAGAAGGUCUUCAAUUGAUACAUACUGCUGUACCAAUAGUUGUCAAAUGAACUGCUCCAGAGAUGAGAAUGGAUUGAGGGAACCCUGUGAACGGUGUUCAUAUUCCUUGAGCUUAUUUUGACUACAUGGUGUACAGAGUAGAGUCCUUGACCAGCAGGGCUUUGCCACAAUCGGCAUCCAAGUGUAGGAUUGUAAAUGAGGCAAAUUGAGCAAAUUAGUGGGUUAUCCAAGUUUCUCAAAUGAGCUUCCUUCUAGCCGAGCUCAAGUAGCUUGGUUCUCUUAUGCAAUAUGAGCUUAUCAAGCCGAAUUUUAGAAAAGCAAGAAGCCUCAAAAUGUGUUCCAGAUAGGCUUGGCAACUUUGGCAUCAACAACAAUGAGCUCACUCGCUGAAGUGUGUUUUACCUUGUGUGGCUGCUGGGUAAUUUUUCAUUACUGCAAAGGUACUUCAAAGAUUAACAUUCUCUUGCCCAUUAAGACGUGAGCAUUAUGUUCUAAAGGUCUUCUCUUAACUUCUGUUACGUAACCUCCUGUAUAUAGUUAACAGUGAUGACAGACCGACAGUUUUAUGAGACUUGUUGCCUUGAGCAUCAUGACUUGCUUGCUUAAUUCUACUUAUUUGGUGGUGCAAUUAAAAACCGGAAUCUUCCCAUGCGCAAAUGAUGGUCACUCUUCUGCAAUAAGAAGCCCUCCAUCGAAAAUUAUGCAGGGCAAGCUCUCGGAGGCAUCGUAGUGCAUGAUACGAAAAACAUCAAAUUUUGGAAUUUGAGCUUUUUAAUUUUUUGUCAAAAAUCUUCGACAGAUUUUGGGAUUCUAAGGAUUACUGAAACUUGGAAAGCCGUCUGAAAUUUAAUUGUUGGGAACUUGAGUUUGUAUAUUGUUAGUAAUAUGAAAGCUGAUUUCCAACCUUUGGCUUCAAACGCUAUUGUUCAUUUGUCAA